AUCAAUAACUCCUGGAAUGAAGUUAUCAAGGAAAAGCCCCGUUCAACGUACAAAGUCGAAUACUUAAUGGUAAAGUAGAGCUGUUACAUAGGAAGCCUCUCCUCAUACUACUAUCACUACUACUAUCACGGCCUGUAAUGAAAGAAGGAAGGAGGUUAAUUGUACAUGAAGACAAUACUGAAAAAUAUGUAUAUAUGUGCUGUGACUUCUUCACAUGGUGCAGAUUGGUCUUGUCUUAAUGCUAUUGUCAGUAGCUUAGGGCUAAUGUAAAAUAAAGUCAACUAUGGAUAAAAGGAAGUUUACCAAAAGAGGACUUUGUGAGUUAGGUAUUCUCCUGUAUGUUUGCUCGCUACUGAAAGCAACCCGUCCCCACAUAAGGAAUCCUAUUGUAUAUGCCACCAAAGUAGCUAGAGGAAGUUGUAGCCACAAUAUUACCCUGAAAGUGCAAAAACUUUCAGUGAAAAGCUUCCACAAAAAAGUGAAACCAAAUGGAGUUGAGUAUGAUCUCAAUUCUGUGGCCCUUGUCAGUCCAAAGACUGCGUUUUCUCUUAGUGUGAAGAAUUGCCAGUGGGUAAAUGCAAACUUUUACACAAAGUGCUAUGAAGACCCAAAUUUAAAGCAGUUCUGUCACACCAAAAGUAGAUGGAUUGUUUUCCAUAUAUCACCAGAUAUUCCUGAUGAUUUAUGCAUGGUAUCUCCCAUUCUUUAUCAUAAUGUGGUCAAGAACCAACAGAAUGUGGAAGUUACU
Macrobrachium nipponense is the source of this 748-nucleotide long non-coding RNA. RefSeq lists it as uncharacterized. NCBI's taxonomy places the organism in Eukaryota, Metazoa, Arthropoda, Malacostraca, Decapoda, Palaemonidae. The record is from RefSeq and is a predicted model, not a curated record. The transcript is spliced from 3 exons.